Molecule: ribosomal RNA, 470 nt
Filed under: Granulicatella adiacens
Lineage: Bacteria; Bacillati; Bacillota; Bacilli; Lactobacillales; Carnobacteriaceae
Description: bacterial SSU rRNA
Rfam family: Bacterial small subunit ribosomal RNA
Source: RNAcentral
GACGAACGCUGGCGGCGUGCCUAAUACAUGCAAGUCGAACGAGAGCGACCGGUGCUUGCACUGGUCAAUCUAGUGGCGAACGGGUGAGUAACACGUGGGUAACCUGCCCAUCAGAGGGGGAUAACAUUCGGAAACGGAUGCUAAAACCGCAUAGGUCUUCGAACCGCAUGGUUUGAAGAGGAAAAGAGGCGCAAGCUUCUGCUGAUGGAUGGACCCGCGGUGCAUUAGCUAGUUGGUGAGGUAACGGCUCACCAAGGCCAUGAUGCAUAGCCGACCCGAGAGGGUGAUCGGCCACAUUGGGACUGAGACACGGCCCAAACUCCUACGGGAGGCAGCAGUAGGGAAUCUUCCGCAAUGGACGCAAGUCUGACGGAGCAACGCCGCGUGAGUGAAGAAGGUUUUCGGAUCGUAAAACUCUGUUGUUAGAGAAGAACAAGUGCUAUGAGUAACUGUUAGCGCCUUGACGGUAU